GACGAACUCUGGUAUUGAUUGGUGCUUGCAUCAUGAUUUACAUUUGAGUGAGUGGCGAACUGGUGAGUAACACGUGGGAAACCUGCCCAGAAGCGGGGGAUAACACCUGGAAACAGAUGCUAAUACCGCAUAACAACUUGGACCGCAUGGUCCGAGUUUGAAAGAUGGCUUCGGCUAUCACUUUUGGAUGGUCCCGCGGCGUAUUAGCUAGAUGGUGGGGUAACGGCUCACCAUGGCAAUGAUACGUAGCCGACCUGAGAGGGUAAUCGGCCACAUUGGGACUGAGACACGGCCCAAACUCCUACGGGAGGCAGCAGUAGGGAAUCUUCCACAAUGGACGAAAGUCUGAUGGAGCAACGCCGCGUGAGUGAAGAAGGGUUUCGGCUCGUAAAACUCUGUUGUUAAAGAAGAACAUAUCUGAGAGUAACUGUUCAGGUAUUGACGGUAUUUAACCAGAAAGCCACGGCUAACUACGUGCCAGCAGCCGCGGUAAUACGUAGGUGGCAAGCGUUGUCCGGAUUUAUUGGGCGUAAAGCGAGCGCAGGCGGUUUUUUAAGUCUGAUGUGAAAGCCUUCGGCUCAACCGAAGAAGUGCAUCGGAAACUGGGAAACUUGAGUGCAGAAGAGGACAGUGGAACUCCAUG
Molecule: ribosomal RNA, 643 nt
Filed under: Lactiplantibacillus pentosus
Lineage: Bacteria; Bacillati; Bacillota; Bacilli; Lactobacillales; Lactobacillaceae
Description: bacterial SSU rRNA
Rfam family: Bacterial small subunit ribosomal RNA
Source: RNAcentral